AGUGGAGGCUAGAGUUAUGCAUGUAGUGCAAAACCCAGAAUAAUGUAUUAAGGAUCUUGUUCUAGCUUAUAAAAACACUGGGAGUAAGCUAGAUCAAAUAAUAGGUAAAUUUCACAAAGAAAAGUAAAAUAGGCUUGAUGUGGGAUUCUAAAGUACCUAAAAAGGAUAAAGUGAAGAAGAUGCAUUUGGGAGUACCUUAUUACAACUUUAGUUGGUUGGGGAUAUCAAACAAUAGCUCCUUCCAACCCAGCAGCCAUUAACAUAGAUACCGCUGUUAAUAUUUCCUUCUUAGUAUUAUUACUUAUAUAGCUUGGCAUAUAUUCCCUC
This is a non-coding RNA of Cinara cedri, 327 nucleotides long. Lineage: Eukaryota; Metazoa; Arthropoda; Insecta; Hemiptera; Aphididae. The record is from the annotation of a GenBank genome assembly.